GCUUCAUAUAUAAAGAUUUUAUCUUUUGUUAGAAUUUAA
RNAcentral lists this transfer RNA (39 nucleotides) under Anopheles gambiae (African malaria mosquito). Its description in RNAcentral is "partial tRNA-Leu". RNAcentral also lists the same sequence under 2 other names. The record is from RNAcentral. Lineage: Eukaryota; Metazoa; Arthropoda; Insecta; Diptera; Culicidae.